RNAcentral lists this unclassified non-coding RNA (473 nucleotides) under Melitaea cinxia (Glanville fritillary). RNAcentral describes it as "misc RNA ENSMCXG00005020840.1". The record is from RNAcentral. Lineage: Eukaryota; Metazoa; Arthropoda; Insecta; Lepidoptera; Nymphalidae.
UUGUAUUUUUAACCGACUUCCAAAAAAGGAGGAGGUUCUCAAUUCGACUGUAUUUUUUUUUUUUAUGUAUGUUACAUCAGAACUUUUGACCGGGUAGACCGAUUUCGACAAAUUUUGUUUUAAUCGAAAGGUGGUGUGUGCCAAUUGGUCCCAUUUAAAUUUAUUUGAGAUCUAACAACUACUUUUCGAGCUAUAUCUAAUAAUGCGUUUUUACUUGACGCUUUUUUCGUCGACCUACGUUGUAUUAUACCGCAUAACUUUCUACUGGAUGUACCGAUUUCGAUAAUUCUUUUUUUGUUGGAAAGGAGAUAUCCCAAGCUUAGUACCAUGAUAAGGAAACCAGGAUCUGAUGAUGGAAUCCUAGAGAAAUCGAGGGAAACUCUUGAAAAUCCGCAAUAACUUUUUACUAGGUGUACCGAUUUUGAUAAUUCUUUUUUUGUUGGAAAGGAGAUAUCCCAAGCUUAGUACCAUGA